Molecule: ribosomal RNA, 1238 nt
Filed under: metagenome
Description: SSU rRNA
Rfam family: Eukaryotic small subunit ribosomal RNA
Source: RNAcentral
UUUCGGUUUUGCAAUUGGAAUGAGAACAAUUUAAAUCCCUUAUCGAGUAACAAUUGGAGGGCAAGUCUGGUGCCAGCAGCCGCGGUAAUUCCAGCUCCAAUAGCGUAUAUUAAAGUUGUUGCAGUUAAAAAGCUCGUAGUUGAACUUUGGGUAAGACUAAGCGGUCCAUCGAAAGAUGAGACUGUGGGUCGAGCCUCUUUGAGGGAGCAGGUCUUUGGCCUGACGAACUCGUGUUACUGUGAAGAAAUUAGAGUGUUUAAAGCAGGCGAUCGCUUGAAUACAUCAGCAUGGAAUAACAAGAUAGGACUAGAGUUCUACUUGUUGGUUUGAGGGCUUUAGUAAUGAUUAAUAGGGCCAGUUGGGGGCAUUAGUAUUCAGUAGUCAGAGGUGAAAUUCUUGGAUUUACUGAAGACUAACUAGUGCGAAAGCAUUUGCCAAGGAUGUUUUCAUUAAUCAAGAACGAAAGUUAGGGGAUCGAAGACGAUCAGAUACCGUCGUAGUCUUAACUAUAAACGAUGCCGACUAAGGAUCAGCAGAAGUCGAUUUCGACUCUGUUGGCACUUUGUGAGAAAUCAAAGUUUUUGGGUUCUGGGGGGAGUAUGGUCGCAAGGCUGAAACCUAAAGGAAUUGACGGAAGGGCACCACCAGGAGUGGAGCCUGCGGCUUAAUUUGACACAACACGGGAAAACUCACCAGGUCCGGACAUAGUAAGGAUUGACAGAUUGAGAGCUCUUUCUUGAUUCUGUGGGUGGUGGUGCAUGGCCGUUCUUAGUUGGUGGAGUGAUUUGUCUGGUUAAUUCCGAUAACGAACGAGACCUUAACCUGCUAACUAGUUGCGUGUACGAGAGUAUGCGAGACUUCUUAGAGGGACUGACUAUGUUUAAUAGUCGGAAGUUUGAGGCAAUAACAGGUCUGUGAUGCCCUUAGAUGUUCUGGGCUGCACGCGCGCUACACUGACAAAGUCAGCGAGUACUACCUUGGCCGAGAGGUCUGGGAAAUCUUGUGAAACUUUGUCGUGCUGGGGAUAGAUCAUUGCAAUUAUUGGUCUUGAACGAGGAAUUCCUAGUAAGCGCAAGUCAUCAGCUUGCGUUGAUUACGUCCCUGCCCUUUGUACACACCGCCCGUCGCUACUACCGAUUGAAUGGCUUAGUGAGGCCUUUGGAUCGGCCGAUUCUUCGCAAGGAGUGUUGGUCUGAAAAAUUGGACAAACUUGGUCAUUAAGAGGAAGUAAAAGUCGU